This 17766-nucleotide long non-coding RNA is filed under the name Ananas comosus (pineapple). RNAcentral describes it as "long non-coding RNA (ACOM_LNC001785)". The record is from RNAcentral. Lineage: Eukaryota; Viridiplantae; Streptophyta; Magnoliopsida; Poales; Bromeliaceae.
CAACCACUACACUGAACAUACAGACAUCCAAUAUCUAUAUAUAUCCAUGCAUCAUUCACCACAGGUUCACAUUCAUGAUUUGAACAUAAAAUCACAACUAUCAGUUAAAACGUUUCCAACUCAGAAACGGAUUUUGAAAUACUAAGUUAUGAAAACUACGAAAAACCUUUUGAAAGCUGUUUCUCACACGGAAAUUCUUUUCUUUUAAAACGCGCUACCACGAGGGGUAAAAAACUAUUUUUUAUUUCACAAAAUCCACAAAUCCAUUUAUUACAUUCAUAAACACCCACAUUUUCAAAUGUAAUAAAAAUACUGAACCAUAUGAACUAUCUAAGCUAUAUCAACAGAAUAGUAAGGGUAGAAACUAAACCGAAUAACCUUGAUCGGAAGCUCUAUCGACCGCUACGUACGUAUCUCACGUCUCGUAUAAACCCUCACCGCCCGCGAUACCUGAAAAAUAGUGGGGGAGGUGAGAACAUGUAAACAUGUCUCCCCUCCCAGUGGGUACUGCAAGCCGAAGAAGGCGAGGAGUACUCACCGGAUCAGGAAGAGCUAAACAGCAGUACGGGUCAGUGGAAAUACAGUAGCAAUAAUAAUGAACGAAAGAGACAUAUAUAAAUGAAAGUACAACUAUCGCUACUGUAAUGAACAACUGAAUGUAUACAUGCAACAAAACUAUAGUAGCAAGACAACUGUAAAGAAAGAACGGUAAGUAUACAUGCAACAACCGCUACUAUAGUCAUAUGCGUAAACCGGAUAAGAAGUCCAAAUAUACCCAAUCUGGUACCUGCUAUAUUGGUCCACAGACCUCAAGCGUUGCCUGUCACAGAGGAGACACUGUCAACUUAUUCAUGCGUCACCGACGACCUAUCCGGAUACGUACACCCCUUGGUUGGUGGACAAACCAACCUGGUGUCUAGAAUACACAGUGCUGUGACUAAAUUAUGCUGAUAUGCUCAAAACAAAAACCGACUGAAGCCGGUGCCUAGGCCGAAGCCAGAACAAGGGCGCACAACGCCGAACCACGAUCAAUCAGAUCGAAACACAUGACAAGAGAGUCGAUGUGUUGCCUGGACCCAAGGUCCACAGAGUCCAACCGACCAACAAGGUCACUGAUACAAAGUACAAGAACCGACCAACUAGGUCAACAGAUACGGAAUGCAGAUAGAACUACUCUACUCCUACUCAGGAUACUAAGCAUGCAAACAACGAGUAGAGUAUAACGAAUAACAAGGAUGCAAGGCUCAAUAUAGGUACUAUGUAGUCAUAAUAACCAAAGAGUAAGGGUAAGAAACCAUCACCGAGCGUGCACCACUGUACCGACUUCGGAUCGAAGUACCCACCUGUAAGGAUGUCGCGCCUGUCUUCUGACUGUGAAAGAAUGUCAACCAGACCUACAGAGGGUCCACUGGGUUAAUAUCUAACCCACAACUAAGCAUAACCUCACAAUUAAACCCACGGAGAUCGGUUUUCCAAAACCGACUAUCGUAACUCGCCAGAAGUCCCGAAACUGCACCGGGACUCCGUCGGGACCCAUGAACUGUUCCGGAAUGCACCGACUCGCGCUACGAGUCACCCGCUACCACAAAAAACAUCAAAUAGGAUGUCUUGGCAGCAAACACAAGAAUACACAACCAAACAACUAUCGUCGGAUAAUCGUUCGCAUCCGGAUUCCCGGAAGUGUCAAUUUCGACACUGGAACCCACCAUAGCUCACCCGUCGUUUUCGAACCCCCGAAACGACCCGGGUGACCAGCCAACCAAGCUCAGCGACUACACAAUAGUUCAUGAAGCACCGUCGGAAUAAUUCCGAGCCGAAGCCGCGUUCCGUCGGCGGAUUUCGUCGAGAAACGCUUCGAAAAUCAAUAUUUGAUUUCCGCAAGGGCCGGGGCCUUGAAAAAUCAGUCCAGAGGUUACCCUCAGCCUACACUUGCUUUCAACAGCAAUCUCGAAGAACAAAAUUGCAUAAAAGCCCUCCCGAUUACCCGAAAUCACAUUAUUUUAUGUGAUUUCGGCGCAUUUAUGGUCCGUCUACACAAACCAGAAGUUAAUCAGCCAAACCAAGACACCCGUUGAUAGGUCUCAGCAUGACGGAGGCCGUGCUCACCUUUCGGAGCACUGCCGGCCACUGUGGCACGCGUACAAGCGACGCGAAAGUCUGCAAAAUAGCGCGCACGGCGCUUAAAUCGCAGUUAACUCGCUAACCAGGGCAUCUAUAACCCUAAUGGAGAUGAGCACAAUGUUCAGCACGAAUCCACGAUCAUCGUGCUCACCUCCAUGGGUGUCGGGGUGUCUUCGAAUCACCGAAACAGUGAAUGGAAACUCAAACUAUAAUGCUGGAACGUAAAAACAGCAUACCGGAGCUGGGGAGAGUUAGGGUUGGCCGCUGGCGGCCGGACAGUGAGCGCUCCGGCCGGGGAUGGGAGCUGCCGGUCCGUGGGGUCCGGGGAAGGUGCUAGCCGGCGGCGGGCAGCAACCGGUGGCGCGGCGGAGGAGAUCAACUCCUCAAAAGUGUCCGCGGGUUCAAGGGCGUCGGCGGCAAGGCAGCGGCCGGAGGAGCUCGGGACGGCGCCGCUUCGACGCCGAAGGCCAAGGGGAAGAUGGUGCACCCGCCGGUGGGCGGAGGCAGCGCUUGGAAGCCGAGGGGACUCGGCCACGGCCCGCACGGGUGUGGGCGGCCGUAAAAUGGAGGAGCGGUAGCCGGCGGUCCACGGGGAUGGCCGGGAUGGCGAGCGGCGGCGAGCUGGAGGUCGCUGGAGGCCGUGGGAGUACGGCGCGGCUCGCGGGGAACGGUGGCAGCGCGUGGAGGCAGGGAUCACCCCGGCUCGGCCUGGGUGAUUGCCGCUGGCCGCAGGGAGCUCGAGCAGCUUCGGCGAGGUGCGGGGACGGCGGAGGCCGGCGGGAACUACGUCGGGAAUGGGUCUCUGCCCAGGAAAGCUUCCAGGGAGGGUUUGUGGCAGUUUCCCAAGCAGCUUCGGCAGAGAGAAGUGGGUGGCCGAGAGGGAAGGAGAGGAAGAUGAUGAUGGGCUUUCCGGCGACUGGAGCCGUUCGUCGGACGUCGGGACAUGUGCACAGGCAGGGCAGGGAUGAUGGUAGGGCGGCUAGGAUUUGCUGAGUGAACUUGGGCAGCAAAAGGACCAAGGAAAACCCUAGUUACUACAUUUAUACUAGGUGCCAUUUUGCAAGAAACCCCUUCAAGGUCAACUAUUUACAGCUAGGUCCCCUGCCAGCACGUGUAUUAUGCGCCUAAGUCCCCCGACGUUCGAAUUCGUGCAAAACAGCACAUAAAAUAUUGGACAUUUUCGCGAUUUAACCAUUUUGCCCAUUUGACCUCUCAGCGAACAUCUCGCUUUUUUCGAAGAUCCGUCUAUCGGAUUUCCGAUCGGAUCACGCCAACGCGUUCAGCACGACUGGGGCAUGGAAUCUAGCAUUUCGUUUCGUCCGAAUUGAUCUCCGAUUCAUGACGAAACCCACCCUCAUUGUUUCCACCAUAUAACCACAUAUAUUUAUAUAUGUAAAACCGAUCAAACCCCUUUUUCUUGACAACCGAGUAUCAGAAUCCAAUUCCGUCAGUACCAUUGGGUUCAGAAUAGUCGAGCCGUUCGAAACGAGCUAUUGGAGUCCUAUGUUCGGAGUCCAAUAUGCACCAGAACCCUUCUCUACUCACUGGCUCAUCUGAAAAGCCGGAGUUACUAUUUACUUUAAGUUGUCGGUCUUGGUCGCGUAACUUCUCCAUUCUAACUCAUUUUCUCCUGAAACUUGACGAGUGCUUAUGUAAUUAAAUUACACACUGAAACGUCGUCAACAGAGGGUUUAGUUGCACUGCCAAAAUCUCAGUCCUUACACUUAGGAAAGUCGAGGGCGAGCCAAAGGGGGAGGCUUGGGUCCCCUUGUUGCUCGGGCUCAUAGAAUAGGGAGAGAGAGAGAGAAGAUGAGAGAGGGAAGGUGAGAGAGAGGUUGGACAGCUUCUCCGACAGCUGGAGGAGGUCGCCGGCGAGGGUGGCGGUGCGUGGGGCACAAGGGAGGGAUUGGAGGUGCUACUGUAAAGAGAGGAAAAUGUGAGGCUAGGGUUAGAGAGUGGGGAAGAGAUGAGAGAUCCUAGGGGUCAAAAAGCCUCAUUUGGUAUUUUUGCACAUAAGCCAAUAAUUUCCCACAAAUUUUUUGCCAAGUCCUCAAAGCACGCGUAAAACAUUGAAUGGCACCCCCACGUGCGAUUUCGUACGAAUCGGAAUAUAAAAUGUUGGGGGAUUUUCUAAAAUUCAUUUUUUUUUCCAAUUUGGCCUUUUCUCGAUUUUUGUGCAAUUGCGGUAAAUCCGUACGCUGGGAGUCCCAAAAACACACCGAGAUGCCCCCGGGAUCCACGAAACAUCUUUAAAUGCAUUAACUCACACCGGGAGUCACCUGCUAUCCAAAAACACACCUAUUUGGGUGUCCAAACAGCAAACACAAGUGUCUAAGUCAACUCGAUCGUCGCCGAUCGACCGUUCACUACCAGGCUUCCGGAAGUGUCUAUUUUGGCACCGGAAACCUCCGCCGCUCAUCAGUCACCUUUAAACACUAGAGAGGAACACGGCGGCCAGCCAACGAGACUAGGCGAUGAUUUUCGGGCAACCAUACAGUUGAAAAACCAUCGCGAUGCAAAGUCGCAUUCUACCGGCGAUUUCGCUGAAAAAUGCACUGAAACCCUACUUUCGAUCGCACGAGAGCUUUGAAACCUGGACAACAAGUCUAGAGGAUCACAACAAGUGACCAUACGCUGCCCGAGCCAGCCCAUAAUGCCUUAAAUGCAAGAUGGCCGGCCCCUAAGGGACCGGAUAAAUGCAAUGUUAUGUACAAAAUAGCAAUGUUUAGGGUUGUUACCGAAAUCCGCGCACCUCUAGGAUAGAGAGAGGGCACGAGCUGAUAGAUUUCGAUGUGCCAAACACUGUGCUCACUAUUCGGAGUGCGUAUGAUAGCCAAAGAGCGCUGUGGAGCUUCACCAAGAUCAGUGCACAAAGGGUUUCGGGAGAGGGAAAGCCAAAUCUCGGCGAUGGAAGGUUGUUGGCAGCAACCGAGGUGAGCACAGCAUUUAGCGAGCGACAAGGAUCACCGUGCUCACUUUCGGGGGGUUCGGGGAGCAUCGGACGGUCGAAAAACAUCAAAAAAGGCAAAACAAGACCUAAAUGACUAGUGGUAGGGAGUAGCAAGCUCCGGCCGGCCGGCGGCGGCAUGUCGACGCGCACGUCGGCCGAGAUUGACUGCAGAGAGGUAGGGGAGUCUAGUGCUUUCCUCGAUCGGCGGCCGUAAGCGGCGGAGGCGGCGGCAACGACGACGCCUCAGGAAGGCAUGGCCUGCAUAGCUAGGGCUCGGGCUUGGGUGCCUUGGCGGCGGCGGCGGCGGUAGCGGUCGAGAAAGCCAUGGGGUGGCGACGUCGAGUCGCCUGAGGCCGAAGGAGGCGUGCCGGGGGUUGGCGGUGGCAACGACCGCGACCGGAGAGGGCUCGGGUCACCUCAGCUCUAGCUGCUUGAGAAGAGAAGCCCACGACAGCAGCUGCUUUAGUGGGGCACUAGGGCACCGGAGGAUGCUGCCGAAGCUAGAGGGUGACAGGGAGAGGCCGAGGAGUGGGAGCUCGGGUCACCUUCGUGCUCGGACUCACCAAAAGGAGGGAGAGGGAGAGGGAGAGAAAGAGAAAAAGUGAGAGAGGGAGAGUGGAGAGAGAUUCUGGUGGCUGGAGAUAGUUGCCGGUUGGGGUGGCAGCGCGUGGCACACAGGGGAUGGGGUGCUAAGGGUGCUGUGGAGAGGGGAGAGUCAGAGGGGUUAGGGUUUGAGUAGGGGAGAGGAGAAAACCCUAAGUGGUUUAAAAGCCUCAUGUGGCAAUUUUGCAGAAAAACCCCUCCAAGCUCCAAUUUUAUGCCAAGCCCCUCACAACAUGUGUAGAACACCGAAUGGCACCCCCAUGUGCAUUUUUGUGCAAAUCGGAACAUAAAUGUUGGGGGAUUCUCUGAAAUUCAAUUUUUCCCAAAUGAACCCUUUCUCGAUUUUCGCACAAUUGCGGUAAAUCCGUCCAUCAGAUUUAUGAACGGACUGCACUGGUGCGUUCAACACUGACGGACCUUCAAGAUCACAUUUUUGCAUCGCGUGAUUUGGUCACAGAUUCACAUCAAACCACACCCUCUCUCGGUUCACACACACACACACACACACACACAUAUAUAUAUAUAUAUAACCACGUAUCUAAUAUCAAAUUCGAAAUUUGAAUUCAAAUUCAAUAUUUACUUGAAUUUCUCAUUUCAAAAUAUCCCAGAUAUUACAUAAAUUUGUAUACCUAACAUAAUGAACUUUAGAAGUUAAUGUUGCUGAUUUUUGCAUGUGACUGAUAUAUAAGAAUUAGAUUUUUAAAAUUAUAAUAUUUUAGAAAUUAUACACAAAUCUGUAUAAAGACCUCAUAUAUGUUUGAGAUCUUUUCUAUUAAUUAAAUUUUAAGAAUAUCAAAUUUUGUAUGCAUCCCCAGUUUGCAACCUUGUCAUUUAAAAAGUUUUACUUUUCCUCUCUGUAGUUUAACUUAUUUUUACUUUGCCACUGUAUAGUUCAAAAAGUUAUUUUGCCCUUUGUGAUUUAGCACAUAUUUUUACUUUGCCAUCCUGUGGUUCAUUAAAAAUUUUUACUCCGUCACUCUAAUUCAUAUAGAAUUAUUUUGGUAAAUAAAAAUUAAAUCACAGAGAAUUAAAGUAAAACUUUUUGAACCACAGGAUGACAAAGUAAACAUAAGCUAAACCAUAGGGGCCUAUUUCAAGUUUACUCAAAAAUUAAUAAUUGAGGACACAAGUUUAAAUUUAAAUUUGAUUUUUAAGUUUAAAUUUAAUAACACUGCCACAUAUCUAGAAGUUAAAUUAAUUAGAUGAUACUUUUAAUAAUUGAUUGAACAGUCUAUAAUCAGUAUUUAUAUUGAAUGUCUUUUAGAUUUUUUUAUACCAUAAAAAAUUUAAAAUUAAUUGUACAAUUAAAACUUCAGUUCAAGUUUUAAGUUCAAAUUCGAAUAAAAUUAGAAAUUUAAAACCCCAACACAUUGGAAACUUUAAUAUUGGCUAAUUCUUUUAAUAAUUAAUCAAACAAUUUAUAAUAUAUAUUCAAAGUUUAAUCCAAAUUCUUAUAAUAAAUGAAACAAAGGGUAUAAUUGCAAUUACACAUACUAACAAAAAGAUAGGAUGAGACGAAACCACCAAACUUAUUUGCUUAUAAUAAUGGAGUUGGAAUUAUCAUUAAUAAUAUAAUACCGUAAAUUAUUUCUAAAUUUAAUUCAUACUCAAAUAAAGAAUAUUUUGAUUUUCAUACCUAACCUCUUCAUCAAUCUGUUAGGUGCUGUUGUGAUUCUAGUCAUUUUCAGCAUCUUUUUCUUGAUUGGUAGUUUUCUGUUGUAUUUUGUGUGAACAAAAGCAUACAAAAUGAAUGCUUUUGGGUUUUGAGCAGUAUAAACACACUUUCAUAGGUUGCACUAGUGGUAGAAAAUUUUAUUAUUUGCUUUUGUUGUAAAAUAGAAAAGAAGUAUGGAUUCUUUUUUGGACAAGAAAAGAUAAUGAGUUAUUGGAGGAAACCAAACUUGCACCUAGUGAUUAGUGUUUGCAAUAUUAUAUAUUUCAAUUUGAUUAUUUUAUUUUUGUGAAUUGCGAUUCGAGUUGAGCGAAGUUAACAUGACUUAUAUUUUUUCAAAUAAAACUGGACUCGACAUAGCCAAGAGGUAAGGCCCGAAUUUUUUGCUCCGGUGUAAGUAGUCUGCCUAAAAUUUUUUUGUUCCAAACCGAUUAAGAUCGAUUCGAGCCUUUUUCCAAACCAUAGUCCAAUUUGUUAAAGUUAUUCAAGUUUGAACUUUGUUACCUUGGUGAAGGAUGAUAGAUACGAAAAAUGCGACAUUUAUCGGAUCAUCUUUUGGCCAUUAUUUUUCUUUUGAUAUACAUAAUCCUGUCUUUCAGCAGUCAUUCCAUCAUUCUGAGAAAAAGGAUAAACUACUUUGUUUCAGUAUUGAAGAUUGUAGGAUUAUUGUUUUGUCGUCUCUUUCGUGCCAUUUAUAGCAACAGACUCUAUCUAUUCGGUCCUAUCUUGUGUGCAUGCAGUAUCUCAUUGUGUGAAUGAUUCUAACGUCGUUAUUCUUGUUUUCUCACUAUUUAUGAAGAUUUUUCUAUUUUCUCAUGAAAUGGCUAUUCAAUCAAUUGUGUAGUGAAGAUAGAAGUUGACCAUGGUUAGCUUAAGGAGGCAUGGACAUCUGGGGCAUUCUUUCGGUAAUACUCUUUUGUUGUGACGUUGCUGCCAAUUCUUUCUGCACUAUAAUUGCUAUAUACAUCUUUCGCCAAAUUUUUGUUCUCUUUAAAUUGUUUUUAUGGCAAUAUCAACUUAUUGUAUGAUGUUAGUAAAUCUUACCAUACCUAUUGCAAGGAAAUUUAAUGUCGAUGGGCAUGCUUCGACACAAUUAGUUUGAUUUGUUAUUUGACAUUUAGAAAAGCGUAAUUAGAUAGAUAUACUCGCAAGAGUAUGUUUGUAUGAUUAUCUCUUGAAAGCUAAUACUAGCUAUUUAGCCUUUUAAAUUUUGGAAGUAAGUGCGAUUCUCCCUUGCAUAUACUUCUAUCUCUAGCAAGUUUCUAUUUCGCAAGUAGUUCUAUCAACAUCUCUACUUUAUCUCGCAUGUCGUACCAUCUGAAUUGUAGACCCUAAUCUGCGUAUAAAACUUCUGCUAAAAAUAUUUGGAGUGUCAUGUUUGAAAAUGAAGGAGAUUUCAACAAUGAUGCCAGUGAAAUGAGGGGCACUAAUAUGCCAAGUUUUAAAUUUAGAAUUUGAAUUUUUAAAAUUUAGAAUGAUAUAUGUGUAAUUCACCUUGUUUAAAGAAAUCAAUAAAAGAUUGAUUGUUCUUCUUUUUUUAAUUUUAUUUUAUCUUUUUUUUUACAUUUUUAUUGGAUUGUAGAAAUUUGUUGUCAUUUCUUAAUCGUUUUUUUUUUUCUGCCGGACUUAUCAAUUUCUCCUCCUUUUAUUUUAUUUUUAGGUAAAAAUUUAUUUGCGGUAGAUCUUCCUAAGAACAAUGAGGAUGAAAAAACUAUGAAGAAUUCUACUUUACAUGUUAAGUUCCGUAACGUGCAUCCCUUGCCUCCAAUUAAGUUGAAUAUACAAAUGCCGUAAGAAUCUAUUUGGCUAUUUGACCAACUUCAACAAUAAAAUCUUAUGUGGUACACAAUUUUUUUUUUUUUUUGUGAUUGCAUCUUAGGAGUUUGCCUUGAGCCUCAUUACAUGGUCUCGGCAGUAUAAUAUUUUAGCAUAAUGCAUUCCACCAACAAGAUGAUUUAUCUUGUUCUGAGAAAAUGACUUGAUGGCCAUAUGUUAUAUUGUUGUAGACAUCUACUCUCCAACAGUUACUUUCAGGUCCUUGAGUAAAUAGUAGAGAUAUACUAAACAAGAUGUUUCGGCAUAAAUGUUUGCCAUGAUAAAUGCUUCGUCUUCUAAUUACCUUUUUUUUUAAUGGAAAAGCUCCACUUUAAUGUUCAUGCAUAGUGGUGUAUCAUCUUUAUUGGAUUAUUCUUAAUUCUUAGUAUUGUGUUCUUUUAAUUCUUCUGCAAAAUCUUAUCUUCCUGGUUGUGUACUGAAAACUUUGAUGAUUUGAUCCAUUUGCUCAAUAUUACCCUACAGGAAAACAAUUCUGAAUCAGUCCCCAAGUCCUCCAAUGCAGCUACUUUCGACUCCCCAAAGGAAGGGACCAAUUACUAUCCUUGUUGGUUCUUACUUAAAUUUGCUACUUGAAUUGAUUGUGCAAUUGAUUUCUGCUAUGUAGUUUUUGUGCAUCUAUAAUCAUUAGCUGUGGAAUCGUAGAGAUAGUAAUAUGAGAGUUUCAUAUCACAUGGACGACUUGCUAUUUGACAAGUGAAUUGAUUAGAGCAAGGUCUGUAUUUUUAGCCUAAACUGAUUUACUUUGGUCAAAACAUAUUGGUUUCAGCAAAGGUCAAUCAGAAAAUAGAAAAAAGUUUUCGUUUUGGCUAUUUUUAACCAACUUCAUGCAUUUUUUAUGGUUCCAGCAGUUUAACUUAAUUAACAAGAAGAUUUAAUAGGCUUUUUGGCUCUAUUUUCACGGAGUAGGGGGUGGCUGCUGGUCGCAGCAGUAGGUAGGCAUCAUUUGCUGCUUGGAGACUCGCUGUUGCAAAGUUUGGACGAGCAAGCAACCAUAGUUAGGUUCCAUAGCCUAAAAUGGCAAUUUUUGAAAAUUCAAUACAGUGGAUUUUGGGGUUUUCGCACUUAGAUUGCACCACUUGGUGUGUGGGUGCCCCGAUAUCCAAAAGUGAGUGUUUUGGGAUAGCGUAGACGAGUGAAUGACUUUGAGAGUGUUUCGAAACACUUUGGGGCUAGUAUAUAAAUUAAAUUUAACUUAAUUAAUUUAGAAUCAUUUUUUACGCUGCACGUGUUAAUUAGCAUACUAAAUUUAAAAUAAAAAUUAUAUAUUAAAUUAUUUUAAAAAUAAAAUAAUAUUUAAAUUUGUGUUAUACAGUGUAAUUUUAGAAUUUCUAUAAUGAUCAAACUAAAUAAAAGAUUUUUUGCCUUAACUUUAGUUCAUAGUUAAGAAUGAUAUUAAGUUAUUAUGUCAUGCCCCAGGGUCCAGCAUUACCAGGCUUGCUGUAAUAUCCGAGAUUUUGAUCAAUAAAGGAAAUGCAAAUUUUGAAUUUUUGAAUUCAAAUUUUAUAUAUAUAUAUAUAUAUAUAUAUAUAUAUAUAUAUAUAUAUAUAUAUAUAUAUAUAUAUAUGUGUGUGUGUGUGUGUGUGUGUGUAUAGUUAUAUUGGUGGACUUCGGAGAGGAUGGAUUCCGUCGCAAAUCGACGACCAAAUCUGAUGAAACAAAAUUGUAGUUUCGAUGCCCCAGUCGUGCUAAACGCGUUGGCGCAAUCCGAUCGAAAAUCCGACGGACGGAUCUUCGGGAAUUGCAUAAUGUUCACUGAGGGGUCGAAAGUGGCAAAACGAAAAAUUCGCGAAAAGCCCUAUAUUUUAUGUAGCGUUUUGCGCGNAAGGGGUCGAAAUUGGCAAAACGAAAAAUUUGAGAAAAACCCAAUAUUUUAUGUACCGUUUUGCGCGAUUUUGAACGUCGAGGUACGUACGCGCAAGAUGCACAUGCUGGCAGGGACUGGAGUGAAAAUAAUCAGCUAAGAGGGACCUUUUUGCAAAAUGUGUACAUGUUAUAUAUAGUUGCAACUAGGGUUUCAUGGUAAAACCCUAGCUUUUGGACUUCUCCUCGGCUGAGCUAAACCUUAGCCCUCACAGCUUGUCCCUGCCCUAGUCGUGCACACGCCUUGGCUGCCGGCGAGCACCCCCGGCCGCCGGAAAAGCCACCCCGACCUCCCUAUCAACUCCUCUCUCCAUAUUGUCUCCACCAUCUCAGCCGACAGCGACAGGGAAACACCCAAACGUGUCUGGCCCUCACCCUCUGGCCGAGGCCAACCUCCGGCAUCAUCCCCGCCGGCCCCCGCUAACCAAGCGCGCUACCGGCACUGCCUGGGUUUCCUACGGCCAACCGCGGCCAGCUCAGGCCAAGCCUAGCUUGGCCCGUGCCCCGUGAGCUUUUGCCGCUUUUGCUCGACCGCGCCGCCCUUCGACGACCUCUAGUGACCUCCCGCUCACUGUCUCGUCGUCCCAGAGCGCCGCCGGCCGUCGCUCGUGCUCACUGCGGCCGCCCAGACUCAAAGUGGGCUGAGGCCGAGUCACCUCGGCCCCGCGCGUCAGCGCCCCCCACCGUCGACCGCACCGCCCUCCCUCAGCCUCUGGCGAUCGGCCACCGUCGUCCCGAGGCUCCUCCGGCCACCGCGCGUCACUGCCACCCACUGCCGGCCGCACCGCCCUCCCUCGGUCUCCGGCGACCGGCCGCCGUCGCCCCGAGGCUCCUCCGGCCGUCUCCUGGCCGCCGCUGCCUCCUUGAGCCGUGCCGAGUUGUGCAGGCUUGAUCUCCUCCGUCGCGCCACCGGCCGCCUCCCGUCGCCGGCCAGCACGUGCCUCGGCCCCCACUAACCGGCCGUACCGUUCCCUGCCAGCGCGCCUGCCGUUCGGCCGUCGUCGGUCAGCCUGUGCUCCCACUGGUCCGAUAAGCAUUAAUUCGUGUUUUCUAAGCACUGUUUCGGGUUCCGGUCGCUUUUUCGGUGAUCCAGAGACACCCCGACACCUCUGAAAGUGAGCAUGAUGAUCCCUGAUCCGUGCCGAACAUCGUGCUCACCUCAAUUUCGGUUAGCGAAGCCCUAGUGUGAGUAUUAAACGCAGUUUAGACACUGUGAGCACUAUUUUGCUGAACUUCGUGUCGCUCGCGCGCUCGCUACAGUGGCCGGCCAUGCUCCGAAGCGUGAGCACGGCCUCUGACACAUCGAGACCUGUCAGCGGAUGUCUCGGCUUAACUAGAAUACCCUUGGUUUGUGCAGUCGGGCCAUAAAACUCCGAAAAUCACAUAAAAUAAUGUGAUUUUUUGUAGUUGCGGGGGUUUCUACGCAAUUGUACAUUUUGUGGUCAAUGUUGGCAGCGUGUGCGGGCAGUGGGUGACCUUUGGACUGGUUGUCCAACGCCCCAGGCAUUUUCGAAAAUUGAAAGUUGAUUUCCGGUUCGUUUUCCGACGAAAUUCGCCGACGAAACGCGAUUUCGGUUCGGAAUUCUUCCGAUGGUGCCUCGUGAUAAAUUGUUUUGUCGCUGAGCCUUGUUUGCUGGUCACCCACAUCAUUUCGUGGGUUCGAAAAUGACGGGUGAGUGAUGGUGGGUUCCGGUGUCGAAUUUGACACUUCUGGAAACUCGGAUCGGAACGAUUAUUCGACGAUAAUUGUUUCGAUGUGAGGUGGUGUGUUUGUUGCCAAGUCCCAUGAAUAAUGGUGUUUAGUGGCAUCGGGUGACUCGUAGCACGAGUCGGUGAGUUUUGGGACAGUUCGUGGGUCCCGGCAGAGUCCCGAUACGAUUUUCGGGACUUCCGGCGUAUUGCGGCAAUCGGUCUUGGGAAACCGAUUCCCAUAGGUUUAUUGGCGGGGUUUGUGAGUUAGUGCUUCGUGUUGUGGGUUGGAUGCUAACCCGGUGGACCCUUCGUAGGUCCGGUUGUUACUUCCUUCGCAGUUAGAAGGCCAGUACCGUAUUUGUACAGGUAGGUACUUCGAUCCGAAGUCGGUACAGCAGUGCACGCUCGGUGACAUUCCCUUCACUCUUUCCUAUGUUUAUUUGGCAUAUUAUAUGUUGAGCCUAGCACCUAUACCAUAUUUUUUUAUUGCUCUACUUAGUUAUUUUGCAUAUUCUGUAUCAUGUUUAGAAGUAGAGUGAUUUCGUGAUUAUGACCUAGUCUGUUAGUGCGUUGCAUUUGUUUUGUGACCUAGUUGGUCGGUUCUUGUAUCUCGUAUCUGUGACCUAUUCGGUCGGUUUACUGCAUUGUUAUCAUGACCUACUUGGUCAGUUGGACUAUUUGAUGACCUAUACGGUCGGUAUACCCUGAAGGGUAGGAUUGUCGGCUAGCUACCGAUGGUUGGUUAUUGAGCAUAUUAGCAUCGAUCACUACUGCUCGUACGCAUUUCACGAAUACCAGCGGCUUGAUCCACCGCAAGAGGGUGUUCUUUUCUGGAAAAGUGGUUGGGAGUGCCAGCCUGUGAGCUCGGGUGCUUUAUGCGAGGGUUAUAUGCUUUUCAGACCCGGGUGCUUAUGCGAGGGUCAGUUACAGAUUAGAGCAGUUGUGGUACAGGCCUGAGGUGUGCGGACCAAUAUGGCAGUUUCAGAUUGGGUAUCUUUGGACUUCUCGUCCGGUUGAUGCAUACAUAUAGUAGCAGUAGUUAUUCAUUUAUACAUCUCGUUUCUAUAUUAUCGUUGCUACUGUUUACACUUACCCAUACUGUUGUAUAUUCUCCUUGAUUGGUGAGUACCCCUCGCCCUCGUCGGCUUGCGGUACCCACUGGAGGGGAGACUACUAGAAAAUUAGUCAUUAGUGGCAUUUAUUUAUGCUGCUAAAUGAUCAACAAAUGCUGUUAAAAGUUUUAGCAGCAUAUGAUACUAAAUGCUGCCUAUGCUAAUUUUCCUAAAAGUAUUAGUAGCAUUAAUUAUAAAUGCCGCCAAUAUAAAUCAAUUAGUGUCAUUAGGAAUAUGCCGCUAAAAGGGAUUAAAUGCUAAUUUUAAAUUAUUUAUUAGUGGCACAUAAAUAUAAUGCCGCUAAUACAAAUAUCUGAUUUUAGAAAUUAAAAUUUUAAAAUUUUAAUUUUAUAUUUAAUUUUUUUGAGAUGCUAACCACUUCAUUUAUUUCUUUUUGUCUUAAACUUUGUUGGAAAUGUGAAUCAACUAGGAUUCGAACUUGAGAUCUCGAGUACCAACAACCAAGUCCUUUGCCACUUGCGCUAGCGACUAUUAGUUAUGUAUAUUUUAAUUUUUUAUAUUUUAAGUCUUCUAUUUUAAAAUUUUAAAAUUUUAAAAUUUUAAAAUUAGAUACUAAAUUUAAAUUUUUAAUUUUGAAAUAUGAAAUUUUAAGUUUCAAAAUUAAUAGUUUUAAAUUUGAAAUUUAAAAUUUAAAAUAAAUUUAAAAUUUUAAAAUUUAAAAAUUAAUAAAUGCUGCGGAGUAAAUGCCGCUAAAUCAUGAAUUUGUAGUAGUGACAUGUGUACAUGUUCUCACCCCCCACCCCCAUUACAGGUGACGUCGCGGGUCCUAGUGGGACGGAUCGUGAGGAGCGUACUUAGCGAUCAUUAGAGCCACUGUCCUGUCAUUUGGUUUAACUCUUAACUCAGUUUCUUUUAAUAAAUGACUUAGAUAGCAUUUAUGGUUCAGUAUUUUAUAUGAAUUGAAUUAUUGGGAUUUUACGAAUGUAAUAAAGGAUUUGUGAUUCUUGUAAACUGAAAAUAGUUUUCUACCCCUCGUGGUAGUGAGUUUUAAAAGGAAAAUGUUUCCGUGUGGGAAACAAUUUUUAAAAGGUUUUUCUUGAUUUUCAUGACUUAGAGUUUUUAAAAUGAGUUUCCGGGUGGGAAACAUUUUAAACUAAUAGUUGUGAAUUUAUGGAUAAAUUCUGAAUGUGAAUGUGAAUGUGAAUGUGAAUGGUGUGUGAAUAUAUGGAUGUUCAUUUGUGGUGGUUGUAUCCUGUAUUGCGAAUUAUGAUCUUAUACUUGUGCGACACCGUGCAAAUACAGGAGAGACUCUGUCCAUGUGAACAGUGAACUCUCUAUAUUUGUCGUGGAUCUGGCACACUCUAGAAGUCAACUUUUCAAAAAAAAAAAAUUGUGCACUUCCGCAUUGCUUUUAAAUCAAAUAGGGACCCUUGGGCGUGACACUUGCCAACAGAUCCGCCACAUACACAAGAAGCCUUGUGUACACGAAGCGAUAGAAGCACCUAUAAACAAUACAAGAACCACUACUAGAAAGUAACAGAGCUACUAAAAUGAAAAUAAAUAGUCACUUAUACAGACAUGUAAUCCAAGGUGUAACAUAAACCAAAGGUACAACAUCAACACCUCACAACUCUCAGCAGAUGAAACAAAAUACAAUUAUAUGUACAUGACUAUAAACAACUACUGUCACCACUGCCAAUCCAAAGGGACCUCCGACCGGCCAGUUCAGCCUGUACCGAAGCUACUCCACGCACUACCCACAAGGGUUACUGAUCUCAGUAGAAUGCCUAAAAGGACUGCUACGACAAGAACGCAAAAAGGCCUCACUUCGGAGCUGCACUCGGGGGAGCUACCAAACCGAGCAAAAGAGCGUACUCUAUCUAGCUCAAUCAGGCUCACGCAGGCUAUAGUCGAUGCAAAUGCUCAAACGGGUCGAAGAACCAAAGCUCACGUGCCUUCGGCACAAUCUGAUGCAAAAAAUACAGAUCUGGGUCCAUCGUUAAUCCGGACAACACCUGACAAUAGAAACAGUCUAAACACUACUGUAAAAAUUUACUCGGCAUCUUAGCAUGAGAGUAAUCUCAAGCUACACUAAUCUGAGUAUCUGUGACGCACUAGCAGCGGCAAUACAAUAGUGAAAAUAGCUCAUGAAGCUAAAUCUGAUCAAAUGGAUGACAAGUUUAAUGUGUAGGUUUUCUCCUAAGUUAAUUUCCAAUUCAGCAUGUAGUAAUCAUCUAUAUUAACGAAAUUAAGCUCCAAAUUCAAAUUUCAUAUAAUAACAUAUGAAUCUAUAAUUUGAGCUACAAAACAUGAUGAUCGAUACAAAAGAAUGCAUGCUAAAAUCUUUACAACUUAGAAGGAAUUCCAUAGAUUUCGAUAGAUAUUAACCCACUUAAAUAAAUAAUCCAACCACAGAGCAAAGGACUUCGCUUAUGAGAACUCCAACUCCAACUCAACUAAGCUUCACUGCAAGGAUCUAAAAGAUUUGGAUUCCCAGACCUUCAACCCAGAUUUGCAGGAAAACCCAAAAUAGCAAGCAUAAAUUUUGAAAUUUAGAGCUAAAAAUUUGGGAAUUGAAGUUUAAAAAUACACUCAACCUACCUUAGAGCAGAAGGCUUAAAUUUCCAAAUAAGUUGCUGUCACGCCCCGGGGCCCCUUUUCAGUUUAAAACAAAGCGGAAAGCGACUGAAAUUUUUUUUUUGAAAACCUGACCCCAGAGUAUGCCAGAUCCGCCACAAACACAGGGAAUCCACUGUUCACACGGACAGAGUCUCCCCUGUAUUUGCACGGCGUCACACAAGUACAAGAAGUAACCCAGGUACAACCACAACCAAAUGAACAUACAAAUAACCAACAAUUAUAUAUUCAUACACCAUUCACAUCACAGGUUCACAUUUAUGUAUUCGAUAUUCAAACAUAAAUCCACAUCUAUCAGUUAAAAAGUUUCCAACCACAGAAACAUGUUUUGAAAUGCUAAGAUGCAAAAUCCACAGAAAACCUUUCGAAAACUGUUUCCUACACGAAAACCUUUAUUCUUUACAAACGCUACCACGAGGGGUAGAAAAUCUUUUAUUUCACAAAAUUCAUUUAUUACAUUCACGAAAAUCCAUAUUUUCAAAUGUAAUAAAAAUACUGAACCAUAUAACUGUCUAAGCUAUAACAACUGAAAUACUAAGGGUAAUAACUAUACCGAAAUAACCUGGGUCGGAAGCUCUAUCGUCCGCUACACACGUACCUCACGUCUCGUCCCACUACUCAACGCCCGCGAUACCUGAAAAAUGGUGGGGGAGGUGAGAACAUGUAAACAUGUCUCCCCUCCCAGUGGGUACCGCAAGCCGAAGAAGGCGAGGAGUACUCACCGGAUCAGGAAGAGAUAACCAACAAUAUGGGUAAGUAAAAUACAGUAGUAACGAUAAUGGACGAACGAGAUAUAUAUAUAUGAAAACACAACUACCGCUACUAUAAUGUACAACUGCAAGCAUACAAAGAUAUCAAAACUAUAGUAGCAAGACAACUGUAAAGAAAGAACUAGAAGUACAUAUGCAACAACCGCUACUAUAGCUAUAUGCGUCAACCGGACGAGAAGUCCAAAAGUACCCAAUCUAAACCGCCGUGUCGGUCUAAGGACCUCAGGCAAAAGCCACUAUCUGCUCACACCUGGCAUGUAACCCUAGCACAAGAGAACACCGCUGGGCUCACGGGUCGGAUGUACGACCACUUUUCCGGAAAAGAACACCCUCCUGCGGGGGAUCAACCCGCUGGUGUACGUGAAAUGCACUCGAGCUGUGGCGAUCAAUGCGGAUAUGAUCAAUAGCCAACCGUCGGCAAUCAGCCGACAAUCACUGCCCCUCCGGGCAUACCGACCGUGUAGGUCAUCAAGCAACAAAGUGAACCAACCGAGAUAGGUCAAUGUACGGAAAGUAACGAACGACCAAACAGGUCACCGAUGCAAAUAGGAG